Molecule: ribosomal RNA, 274 nt
Filed under: uncultured bacterium
Lineage: Bacteria
Description: partial 16S ribosomal RNA
Rfam family: Bacterial small subunit ribosomal RNA
Source: RNAcentral
AUACGGAGGGUGCAAGCGUUGUUCGGAAUUACAGGGCGUAAAGCGCGCGUAGGCGGUCUGUUAUGUCAGAUGUGAAAGUCCUCGGCUCAACCGGGGAAGUGCAUUUGAAACUGGCAGACUUGAGUACUGGAGGGGGUGGUGGAAUUCCCGGUGUAGAGGUGAAAUUCGUAGAUAUCGGGAGGAAUACCGGUGGCGAAGGCGACCACCUGGCCAGAUACUGACGCUGAGGUGCGAAAGCGUGGGGAGCAAACAGGAUUAGAAACCCUAGUAGUCC